CUGGUGGAUACUGAUGACAUCCACAGUGAUCAUGAAGGUUGAGCUGGUUGAUACUGAUGACAUCCACAUUGAUCCUGAAGAGAAUGUGCACCUGGACAACGACCUGGACAGAGACCCUGAGGCAGCGUGUGACCCUAAGGCAGUGUGUGAGUCAGACUCACAAGAUAAAUAAUGUCCCAGUAAUGCUGGUAGUUCACCCUCAAAUCUGUACUACAUCCUGCAUUUUUACAUGGCAGACAAGCAUUUCCUCAGUGCAUCUGUUUUAUUUACUGUAUGUUUCUGAUUCUACA
Thunnus maccoyii (southern bluefin tuna) is the source of this 290-nucleotide long non-coding RNA. RefSeq lists it as uncharacterized. The record is from RefSeq and is a predicted model, not a curated record. NCBI's taxonomy places the organism in Eukaryota, Metazoa, Chordata, Actinopteri, Scombriformes, Scombridae. The transcript has 3 exons.